GAUGAACGCUGGCGGCGUGCUUAACGCAUGCAAGUCGAACGAUGAAGCCCAGCUUGCUGGGUGGAUUAGUGGCGAACGGGUGAGUAACACGUGAGUAACCUGCCCUUGACUCUGGGAUAAGCCCGGGAAACUGGGUCUAAUACCGGAUAGGAGCGCCUGUCGCAUGACGGGUGUUGGAAAGAUUUUUCGGUCAUGGAUGGACUCGCGGCCUAUCAGCUUGUUGGUGAGGUAAUGGCUCACCAAGGCGACGACGGGUAGCCGGCCUGAGAGGGUGACCGGCCACACUGGGACUGAGACACGGCCCAGACUCCUACGGGAGGCAGCAGUGGGGAGUAUUGCACAAUGGGCGGAAGCCUGAUGCAGCGACGCCGCGUGAGGGAUGACGGCCUUCGGGUUGUAAACCUCUUUCAGUAGGGAAGAAAGCGAAAGUGACGGUACCUGCA
Molecule: ribosomal RNA, 443 nt
Filed under: Micrococcus sp. oral taxon F54
Lineage: Bacteria; Bacillati; Actinomycetota; Actinomycetes; Micrococcales; Micrococcaceae
Description: bacterial SSU rRNA
Rfam family: Bacterial small subunit ribosomal RNA
Source: RNAcentral